Long non-coding RNA from Ictalurus punctatus (channel catfish), 285 nucleotides. NCBI's taxonomy places the organism in Eukaryota, Metazoa, Chordata, Actinopteri, Siluriformes, Ictaluridae. The record is from Ensembl.
GUGAGAGUGUGUGUGUGUGAGAGUGUUUAUUCAUGUCGAGGUUGUGCUAAAGUCCAGACUGAAGGCUGUGUUUUUGUUUUUUGUCUCUGAUUUGUUUCCUCCGUUACGUCUCGGUGAGGACGCGAGGACGCGAGGACGUGAGGACGCGAGCGAGCGAUCGGAGCAGAGGAGGAAAACUGAGAAUUGGUUUUAUGUAAAUGAGCGGAGCGCGGUCGGAGCAGAAGCGGCGUCUCUGUCUGAUUAGGCCGGGUUUCUGUCUGAUUCAUCAGGAAUUAAAUCGUCUCG